Molecule: ribosomal RNA, 2923 nt
Filed under: Klebsiella pneumoniae
Lineage: Bacteria; Pseudomonadati; Pseudomonadota; Gammaproteobacteria; Enterobacterales; Enterobacteriaceae
Description: bacterial LSU rRNA
Rfam family: Bacterial large subunit ribosomal RNA
Source: RNAcentral
GGGUUGUGAGGUUAAGCGACUAAGCGUACACGGUGGAUGCCCUGGCAGUCAGAGGCGAUGAAGGACGUGCUAAUCUGCGAAAAGCGUCGGUAAGGUGAUAUGAACCGUUAUAACCGGCGAUGUCCGAAUGGGGAAACCCAGUGCAAUUCGUUGCACUAUCGUUAACUGAAUACAUAGGUUAACGAGGCGAACCGGGGGAACUGAAACAUCUAAGUACCCCGAGGAAAAGAAAUCAACCGAGAUUCCCCCAGUAGCGGCGAGCGAACGGGGAGCAGCCCAGAGUCUGAAUCAGCUUGUGUGUUAGUGGAACGGUCUGGAAAGUCCGACGGUACAGGGUGAUAGUCCCGUACACCAAAAUGCACAGGCUGUGAACUCGAAGAGUAGGGCGGGACACGUGGUAUCCUGUCUGAAUAUGGGGGGACCAUCCUCCAAGGCUAAAUACUCCUGACUGACCGAUAGUGAACCAGUACCGUGAGGGAAAGGCGAAAAGAACCCCGGCGAGGGGAGUGAAAAAGAACCUGAAACCGUGUACGUACAAGCAGUGGGAGCACCUUCGGGUGUGACUGCGUACCUUUUGUAUAAUGGGUCAGCGACUUAUAUUCUGUAGCAAGGUUAACCGUAUAGGGGAGCCGCAGGGAAACCGAGUCUUAACUGGGCGUUAAGUUGCAGGGUAUAGACCCGAAACCCGGUGAUCUAGCCAUGGGCAGGUUGAAGGUUGGGUAACACUAACUGGAGGACCGAACCGACUAAUGUUGAAAAAUUAGCGGAUGACUUGUGGCUGGGGGUGAAAGGCCAAUCAAACCGGGAGAUAGCUGGUUCUCCCCGAAAGCUAUUUAGGUAGCGCCUCGUGAACUCAUCUUCGGGGGUAGAGCACUGUUUCGGCUAGGGGGUCAUCCCGACUUACCAACCCGAUGCAAACUACGAAUACCGAAGAAUGUUAUCACGGGAGACACACGGCGGGUGCUAACGUCCGUCGUGAAGAGGGAAACAACCCAGACCGCCAGCUAAGGUCCCAAAGUCAUGGUUAAGUGGGAAACGAUGUGGGAAGGCACAGACAGCCAGGAUGUUGGCUUAGAAGCAGCCAUCAUUUAAAGAAAGCGUAAUAGCUCACUGGUCGAGUCGGCCUGCGCGGAAGAUGUAACGGGGCUAAACCAUGCACCGAAGCUGCGGCAGCGACACUAUGUGUUGUUGGGUAGGGGAGCGUUCUGUAAGCCUGCGAAGGUGUGCUGUGAGGCAUGCUGGAGGUAUCAGAAGUGCGAAUGCUGACAUAAGUAACGAUAAAGCGGGUGAAAAGCCCGCUCGCCGGAAGACCAAGGGUUCCUGUCCAACGUUAAUCGGGGCAGGGUGAGUCGACCCCUAAGGCGAGGCCGAAAGGCGUAGUCGAUGGGAAACAGGUUAAUAUUCCUGUACUUGGUGUUACUGCGAAGGGGGGACGGAGAAGGCUAUGUUAGCCGGGCGACGGUUGUCCCGGUUUAAGCAUGUAGGCUGAUUGUCCAGGCAAAUCCGGAUAAUCAAGGCUGAGGUGUGAUGACGAGGCACUACGGUGCUGAAGUAACAAAUGCCCUGCUUCCAGGAAAAGCCUCUAAGCAUCAGGUAACAUCAAAUCGUACCCCAAACCGACACAGGUGGUCAGGUAGAGAAUACCAAGGCGCUUGAGAGAACUCGGGUGAAGGAACUAGGCAAAAUGGUGCCGUAACUUCGGGAGAAGGCACGCUGGUGUGUAGGUGAAGUCCCUGCGGAUGGAGCUGAGACCAGUCGAAGAUACCAGCUGGCUGCAACUGUUUAUUAAAAACACAGCACUGUGCAAACACGAAAGUGGACGUAUACGGUGUGACGCCUGCCCGGUGCCGGAAGGUUAAUUGAUGGGGUUAUCCGUAAGGAGAAGCUCUUGAUCGAAGCCCCGGUAAACGGCGGCCGUAACUAUAACGGUCCUAAGGUAGCGAAAUUCCUUGUCGGGUAAGUUCCGACCUGCACGAAUGGCGUAAUGAUGGCCAGGCUGUCUCCACCCGAGACUCAGUGAAAUUGAACUCGCUGUGAAGAUGCAGUGUACCCGCGGCAAGACGGAAAGACCCCGUGAACCUUUACUAUAGCUUGACACUGAACAUUGAGCCUUGAUGUGUAGGAUAGGUGGGAGGCUUUGAAGCGUGGACGCCAGUCUGCGUGGAGCCAACCUUGAAAUACCACCCUUUAAUGUUUGAUGUUCUAACGUUGGCCCCUGACCGGGGUUGCGGACAGUGUCUGGUGGGUAGUUUGACUGGGGCGGUCUCCUCCCAAAGCGUAACGGAGGAGCACGAAGGUUAGCUAAUCCUGGUCGGACAUCAGGAGGUUAGUGCAAUGGCAUAAGCUAGCUUGACUGCGAGCGUGACGGCGCGAGCAGGUGCGAAAGCAGGUCAUAGUGAUCCGGUGGUUCUGAAUGGAAGGGCCAUCGCUCAACGGAUAAAAGGUACUCCGGGGAUAACAGGCUGAUACCGCCCAAGAGUUCAUAUCGACGGCGGUGUUUGGCACCUCGAUGUCGGCUCAUCACAUCCUGGGGCUGAAGUAGGUCCCAAGGGUAUGGCUGUUCGCCAUUUAAAGUGGUACGCGAGCUGGGUUUAGAACGUCGUGAGACAGUUCGGUCCCUAUCUGCCGUGGGCGCUGGAGAAUUGAGGGGGGCUGCUCCUAGUACGAGAGGACCGGAGUGGACGCAUCACUGGUGUUCGGGUUGUCAUGCCAAUGGCACUGCCCGGUAGCUAAAUGCGGAAGAGAUAAGUGCUGAAAGCAUCUAAGCACGAAACUUGCCCCGAGAUGAGUUCUCCCUGAGACUAUAAGUCUCCUGAAGGAACGUUGAAGACGACGACGUUGAUAGGCCGGGUGUGUAAGCGCAGCGAUGCGUUGAGCUAACCGGUACUAAUGAACCGUGAGGCUUAACCUUACAACGCCGAAG